This is an RNA transcript of Alexandromys fortis (reed vole), 2533 nucleotides long. It is a transcript of the gene named interferon alpha-1-like, with no coding region annotated. The record is from RefSeq and is a predicted model, not a curated record. The transcript is spliced from 2 exons. Lineage: Eukaryota; Metazoa; Chordata; Mammalia; Rodentia; Cricetidae.
UUGCAAGCCUAUUCCUUCACUGUAAUUAGAGCCUACUUUUUCUGGACCCCAGCAUGUUAGGAAGCCCACAUAAGACGUCCAGCCUCAUGGGGUGAAUAAAUCCAUAAAGGGUGCUCCUCUGUGACCUGGGUAAACUCAGAACUGUACUCCAUCAACAGCUGGAACACCUGGAAACCAGUUUGACAGAUGUUGGGAGAGCAAGAAUCUGCCUUGGCUACUGAGCAUGGGAAAGUGGCCUUAAAGGAAUACUUCCAGAGAUCCCAUCUCUGCCUGGGAGGGAAGAAACACAGCGAGUGUGCCUGAGAGAUUGUCACUGUAGAAAUCAGGAGAGCUGCAAGGGAGGCUGAGGAGGCAGAGCUGCAAGGGAGGCUGAGGAUGCAGAGCUGCAACCACUGAUAAAAUUAUCAAGAGAAACAACUUAAUAACCAUACACAUUUGGACUUAAAGCGACUGUUCACAGACAUAAUCCCAGCGCUCCAGAGGCUGCAGCAGGCCGACUGACUAGACUUCAAGGCCAGCCAGGACACAUAGGUUGACCUCGUCUCAAAAACCCAAAUCCAAACAACCCAAAACUCCAAGAAUUCCCAGUUACGAAGUUAUGAAAUCAUUCAACCCACGCCUUAAGAUUUUUGCAUCAAAACUCCAUCCGGUGGGGUUCGUAAGUGUGCUCUGGGAUGACUCACCUCACUCCUAAGGAACUAAGUUUCUCAAAUGUAAACGGGACUGGAAUAAUCAUUGGAUUGUUAUAUUAAACCAACACAUGCGUUCUUAGAAACGAAGCAGUCAAUGUACUUUCUACUGAAUUCUUCAGUGCUACCCCAGAAUAGUGGUUAUUGGUGGAGCAUUGCAGUCUGUUCUGCUUGCCCAAAAGAGAAUUUCUGAGAACCUUGGGAACAAGUACUAGAAAAGAUGGAACAGGGUCCCUCUGUCACAAGAACUGCUCUGGCCAGCAUCGCAGGGCCCCAGCCCCUCCCCCUUGCCCUCCUCUAGCCUCACAAAACCCAUUCCCCUGCCACAGUAAUGUCCCUGCCUCCACUCUGCUCAUUCCUGCAGGUGUUUUCGGCUUCCCUUUGUGGUUUUAGCUUCCGAUCUCUAUGAAGAAUGAAAAGCAAAAAUUGUGCAAAGCUACUCUAAGAAGUUUUGGAUUUGUGUCUCGAGGCAUAUUUGCGGAGUGGAGGGAAUGCCCAGGGUGACGCGCAUCUGAAAGUGAAAGGAAGCCUUGGGGUUUGCCAGGUUCUCUAAGCGCUGUGUGGGAGCGCCCCCUGCUGGCCAUGCAUUGCGCACUAAGCCCACAUCUUAGGAAGGGGCCAGCGCCACUGGCAUGAGCGCUAGAAUGUCACUGUUCUCUGAGGUUAUAUUGUUGCAGAAAAGAUCUAGCCUCCAGCUUCAGGCAGCACAUGUCUUCUUCGGGCAGUGAACGGCUGGAGGGAGACAGGCAAGAAUGCGGUUUGUGUCUCCUGCCUGUUGUGAGGUCUACGCCUCUGGACACGGCGCAUUAUCCACGCUGUGGGACAGACCCCUAGGAACUCAGGACGGGGCUGCAGUGGUAACUAUGGAGAAGUCUCGUAUCUGAAGGAAUGUUAAAUGUAAGAGAGUGAAUUCAGCUUCACAGUUAAUGCCAAAAUAUCACAUCGUGCCUGACUUUCCCGAAAGAGUGAAAAUAUACCUCUCACGGCUCUAAGACCUCAUCCGGUGCAGAUCUGUCCAGGCUCUAUGCAUGCUGCAUUCUCUGGGAGCUCAUCUGCGCACUGAUCCUGUUGAUUUUGAGGGCCUUGCUUCUUUGGUGUCCUUCGUCCCCUCUGACUUUUAUAUUCUUUCCACUUCUUCCAUGGUUCCCUGAGCCCUGAGGGGAGGGAUUUAAUGCUGAGUGUUCCAACAUCUCUCCAAGGUGUCUGUUUGGUUUUUACUCUAGGUCCCUGAACUAUCUAGUCUUAUGUUGUAUGAGGUAUGGGUUCUAUCUCGUGGAGUGGACCCUAAGUCAAAUCAGAUAUUCAUUGACUACUCCCACAAGUCCCGUGCCGCUAUUGUCCUAGCGUAACCACUGUAGAUCCGAGCGUUUGUAGCUCGGUUGGUGUUUUACCUUUUGCUAGCAUACACAUACUUUACUGUACCAAAGAUGCUAACAUGUAUGUAUAGGUGAAGUCUCUCUGUAGGCACCAGCUUGACUUCACGGUCAGUGAGUUGUGUAGAGGUUAUUUUCAGCAAUGGUCCUUGAUGUAAGUUUGAGAACAACCUAUAGUCUUGGCAACAGCCUGGGUUGUUUUGGGGUUCAAAUGGGACCUCUGGCUGACAACUCAAUUAGACAUAACCCAUCCCCAGCAUUGGAAGCUUCAUUUGGCAGCAAGAGAUGGUCACUUGAGACUCUGUCUCCCCCUUUGUUUGGAGAUUUCAGUUAGAUUACCUUCAGAUAUGUAUAUAUUUUUAGGAAGCCUCUACUGGUGUUAAGUUUCCCUGCCAUCCAUCAAAUGACCUUAAUUUUAGCUGUCUUCUCCAAGCAUCCCCUUUCUUCCCCCUCCCCCACUUGACCCUCCCA